Molecule: ribosomal RNA, 718 nt
Filed under: uncultured bacterium
Lineage: Bacteria
Description: bacterial SSU rRNA
Rfam family: Bacterial small subunit ribosomal RNA
Source: RNAcentral
AGAGUUUGAUCAUGGCUCAGGAUGAACGUUGGCGGUGUGCCUAAUACAUGCAAGUCGAACGAAGAUUGUAGCAAUACUGUCUUAGUGGCGAACGGGUGAGUAACGCGUUGGUGAUCUGCCUCGAAGUGUGGAAUAACCUCCCGAAAGGGAAGCUAAUACCGCAUGGUCUCUCAAGGUUUAGAAAAUUGAGAGUAAAGGAUUUAUUCGCUUCGAGAGGAGCCUGCGUCCCAUCAGCUAGUUGGUAGGGUAACGGCCUACCAAGGCUAUGACGGGUAGGGGACCUGAGAGGGUGGCCCCCCACAAUGGAACUGAAACACGGUCCAUACACCUACGGGUGGCAGCAGUAGGGAAUAUUAGAAAUGGGCGAAAGCCUGAUCUAGCAACACCGCGUGUGCGAUGAAGGCCUUCGGGUUGUAAAGCACUUUUUGGAGGGAAUAGGAAGGAAGGUACCUCCAGAAUAAGUCUCGGCUAACUACGUGCCAGCAGCCGCGGUAACACGUAGGAGGCAAACGUUAUCCGGAUUCACUGGGCGUAAAGCGCGUGCAGGUGGUUCCGUAAGUAGGGCGUGAAAGCUCCCGGCUCAACUGGGAGAGGCCGUACUAAACUGCGGAGCUAGAGGAUGGUAGAGGGAGGUGGAAUUCCAGGUGUAGUGGUGAAUGCGCAGAUAUCUGGAGGAACACCAGUGGCGAAAGCGGCCUCCUGGACCAUUCCUGACACU